This 254-nucleotide ribosomal RNA is filed under the name uncultured bacterium. RNAcentral's name for it is "partial 16S ribosomal RNA". It matches the Rfam family "Bacterial small subunit ribosomal RNA", at positions 524 to 776 of the family's 1533-position model. The record is from RNAcentral.
UACGAAGGGGGCUAGCGUUGUUCGGAUUUACUGGGCGUAAAGCGCACGUAGGCGGAUUUUUAAGUCAGGGGUGAAAUCCCGGGGCUCAACCCCGGAACUGCCUUUGAUACUGGAAGUCUUGAGUAUGGUAGAGGUGAGUGGAAUUCCGAGUGUAGAGGUGAAAUUCGUAGAUAUUCGGAGGAACACCAGUGGCGAAGGCGGCUCACUGGACCAUUACUGACGCUGAGGUGCGAAAGCGUGGGGGAGCAAACAGG